AUCUGGAAAGUAUGACCGACAGGAGCAGCUUACUCACCAUUAGAUAAGUAUUGCAGAUGACUCAUGCUGGAGUAUUGAUAGCUGUGCUGCUGAGAUGGAUAUCCUGUUUUAUAACAGCUGUAGCAUGAUGCCAAGAGCCAGGAACCUUAAUUUAACUCUCCAUACUUUUCUCUGAAUGUACUUUGGGUCUCUGGCACCUUCUCUCAUUGGUUUUUCCAUCUAAAGGGUUCAGAGGGGAGGUUUUGCUUCCCUGAGUGAGGUGCAGUGUAUGGGGCAGCUCAUGUCACCUUGAAAUGAAAGCUAGUGUUGAAACGCUGCAGGUUUAUAGCUGUUCUUCAGGACAUGCAAUAUUUGUCUUUUUAACAGAUGCUAUUAGUGACUUUCCUCGAUUCUUUGGGUUUUUUGGUUUUGUUUGUGUUUUUUUUCAGAGCCAUUAUACCCCUUCUUCAGCAGAACAAACCAGAAGGUACAGAAACAGCAGCUAUGUGGGAGAGCAGCAAUCUGGCUGAGAUGUGGACUCCUGUGCCUCGAAUGUCUGAAGCUGCACGAGGUGAGCGCCCCUCUCACUGCCUGUGUGUGUGAUGAGGAGAUAGUGGGACAAAGAACCUAACAAAGAACCGCCUGACACCGCCUGAGAUGAAAAUAGUAUGGAAACUUUAAUCAGCUCUCUGCAACUGAGCAGUCUCUGGAGGUCCUGUACCAAACCUGACCCACUUGCUGAACCCCAGCAGAGCAGCACUGGGCAUUCCUCUGCCUGCCUGCAGAAGAAUGAAAGGACAGCAGUAUGAAAAGAGACAAGGACAGCAAUCAGUGGUAGAUGUUGCUGAGAAGAUGAUGCCCAUGUGCUGCUCAGAAGGGCUGCUGAGCUGCCAGACAAGCCCCAAGCCUUCCCCUUCCUGUGUGCACGUGUCCUGCUGGCUGCAGCCCUUGCUGGACCCUGGAGGAUGCCAGGCUCUGGCACUCCCCGGGCAGUGAAGCUCCAGGGCCUUUGAAAGGCUGUCCAGAAUAUUGAGGGAAAACUGCCUCCUCCUCCUCCCUGGACACAAACCUCAUUGAUUUGCUGCUGUUUUUUCUUAUUUUUUUCUUUUGGCUGUCUGAAUAACUGAAGUACAAACCUAUUCGACAUUAAUUCACUAAUGGAUGGCAGAAGGUUUCAUGUUUGGUUUUUAAUUGAAAGACUGAUGAUGCAAUUAUAAACCUCAUAUCCAUUAUGUAUCUUUGAACCAUGUGAAAAGUAUGAAUUUUUACAGAAAACAUGAGAGUGGUGGGGUUGUGGAAUAAACUUCUUUAAUGCCUGAAUUUUAAUC
Catharus ustulatus (Swainson's thrush) is the source of this 1307-nucleotide long non-coding RNA. RefSeq lists it as uncharacterized. The record is from RefSeq and is a predicted model, not a curated record. The transcript is spliced from 3 exons. NCBI's taxonomy places the organism in Eukaryota, Metazoa, Chordata, Aves, Passeriformes, Turdidae.